Molecule: non-coding RNA, 116 nt
Filed under: Chlorocebus sabaeus (green monkey)
Lineage: Eukaryota; Metazoa; Chordata; Mammalia; Primates; Cercopithecidae
Source: Rfam by way of RNAcentral
GCUGGGCAUGGUGGCUCAUGCCUGUAAUCCCAGCACUUGGGAGGCCAAGGCGGGUGGAUCACCUGAGGUCAGGAGUUCAAGACCAGCCUGACCAACAUGGUGAAACCUCGUCUCUA